UCUCGCGUCAAGAUAUGCCUAGGUGGGAUUAGCUAGUUGGUGAGGUAAUGGCUCACCAAGGCGACGAUCCCUAGCUGGUCUGAGAGGAUGAUCAGCCACACUGGAACUGAGACACGGUCCAGACUCCUACGGGAGGCAGCAGUGGGGAAUAUUGCACAAUGGGCGCAAGCCUGAUGCAGCCAUGCCGCGUGUAUGAAGAAGGCCUUCGGGUUGUAAAGUACUUUCAGCAGUGAGGAAGGGGGUGUCGUUAAUAGCGGCAUUUCUUGACGUUAGCUGCAGAAGAAGCACCGGCUAACUCCGUGCCAGCAGCCGCGGUAAUACGGAGGGUGCGAGCGUUAAUCGGAAUUACUGGGCGUAAAGCGCAUGCAGGUGGUUUGUUAAGUCAGAUGUGAAAGCCCGGGGCUCAACCUCGGAACUGCAUUUGAAACUGGCAAACUAGAGUACUGUAGAGGGGGGUAGAAUUUCA
This 466-nucleotide ribosomal RNA is filed under the name Vibrio fortis. RNAcentral describes it as "bacterial SSU rRNA". It matches the Rfam family "Bacterial small subunit ribosomal RNA", at positions 213 to 671 of the family's 1533-position model. The record is from RNAcentral. Lineage: Bacteria; Pseudomonadati; Pseudomonadota; Gammaproteobacteria; Vibrionales; Vibrionaceae.